This 234-nucleotide ribosomal RNA is filed under the name uncultured bacterium. RNAcentral's name for it is "partial 16S ribosomal RNA". It matches the Rfam family "Bacterial small subunit ribosomal RNA", at positions 523 to 755 of the family's 1533-position model. The record is from RNAcentral.
AUACGGAGGGUGCGAGCGUUAUUCGGAAUUACUGGGCGUAAAGCGCGUGCAGGCGGGAAGGCAAGUCUGAUGUGAAAGCCCCGGGCUUAACCCGGGAAGUGCAUUGGAAACUGCCUUUCUUGAGUACUGGAGAGGAAGGGGGAAUUCCCGGUGUAGAGGUGAAAUUCGUAGAGAUCGGGAGGAAUAUCAGUGGCGAAGGCGACUUUCUGGACGAAUACUGACGCUGAUGCGACG